AACAAGGUCUCCGUUGGUGAACCAGCGGAGGGAUCAUUACUGAGUUACCGCUCUAUAACCCUUUGUGAACAUACCUAACCGUUGCUUCGGCGGGCAGGGGAAGCCUCUCGCGGGCCUCCCCUCCCGGCGCCGGCCCCCACCACGGGGACGGGGCGCCCGCCGGAGGAAACCAAACUCUAUUUACACGACGUCUCUUCUGAGUGGCACAAGCAAAUAAUUAAAACUUUUAACAACGGAUCUCUUGGUUCUGGCAUCGAUGAAGAACGCAGCGAAAUGCGAUAAGUAAUGUGAAUUGCAGAAUUCAGUGAAUCAUCGAAUCUUUGAACGCACAUUGCGCUCGCCAGCAUUCUGGCGAGCAUGCCUGUUCGAGCGUCAUUUCAACCCUCAAGCACCGCUUGGUUUUGGGGCCCCACGGCACACGUGGGCCCUUAAAGGUAGUGGCGGACCCUCCCGGAGCCUCCUUUGCGUAGUAACUAACGUCUCGCACUGGGAUCCGGAGGGACUCUUGCCGUAAAACCCCCAAAUUCUUUACAGGUUGACCUCGGAUCAGGUAGGAAUACCCGCUGAACUUAAGCAUA
RNAcentral lists this ribosomal RNA (578 nucleotides) under Colletotrichum sp. GM77. RNAcentral describes it as "eukaryotic LSU rRNA". The stretch from base 222 to 375 matches the Rfam family "5.8S ribosomal RNA". Lineage: Eukaryota; Fungi; Ascomycota; Sordariomycetes; Glomerellales; Glomerellaceae. The record is from RNAcentral.